This 348-nucleotide ribosomal RNA is filed under the name uncultured bacterium. RNAcentral's name for it is "bacterial SSU rRNA". It matches the Rfam family "Bacterial small subunit ribosomal RNA", at positions 32 to 359 of the family's 1533-position model. The record is from RNAcentral.
AAUCAACGCUGGCGGCGUGCCUCAGACAUGCAAGUCGAACGCGAAAGUCCCCUUCGGGGGACAAGUAGAGUGGCGCACGGGUGAGUAACACGUAGGUAAUCUACCUUCGGAUGGGGAAGUAACAACCGGAAACGGUUGCUAAUACCGCAUAAUGCAGCGGCACCUAAUGGUGACAGUUGUUAAAGCGGGGGAUCGAAAGACCCCGCGUCUGAAGAGGAGCCUGCGGCGGAUUAGCUAGUUGGAAGGUAAUGGCUUACCAAGGCGACGAUCCGUAGCCGGCCUGAGAGGGCGGUCGGCCACACUGACACUGACAUACGGGUCAGACUCCUACGGGAGGCAGCAGUCGGG